Molecule: ribosomal RNA, 473 nt
Filed under: Bacillus sp. iCTE14
Lineage: Bacteria; Bacillati; Bacillota; Bacilli; Caryophanales; Bacillaceae
Description: bacterial SSU rRNA
Rfam family: Bacterial small subunit ribosomal RNA
Source: RNAcentral
AGAGUUUGAUCCUGGCUCAGGAUGAACGCUGGCGGCGUGCCUAAUACAUGCAAGUCGAGCGAACUGAUUAGAAGCUUGCUUCUAUGACGUUAGCGGCGGACGGGUGAGUAACACGUGGGCAACCUGCCUGUAAGACUGGGAUAACUUCGGGAAACCGAAGCUAAUACCGGAUAGGAUCUUCUCCUUCAUGGGAGAUGAUUGAAAGAUGGUUUCGGCUAUCACUUACAGAUGGGCCCGCGGUGCAUUAGCUAGUUGGUGAGGUAACGGCUCACCAAGGCAACGAUGCAUAGCCGACCUGAGAGGGUGAUCGGCCACACUGGGACUGAGACACGGCCCAGACUCCUACGGGAGGCAGCAGUAGGGAAUCUUCCGCAAUGGACGAAAGUCUGACGGAGCAACGCCGCGUGAGUGAUGAAGGCUUUCGGGUCGUAAAACUCUGUUGUUAGGGAAGAACAAGUACGAGAGUAACUGCU